RNAcentral lists this transfer RNA (73 nucleotides) under Camelus ferus (Wild Bactrian camel). It matches the Rfam family "tRNA". Rfam says of the family: Transfer RNA (tRNA) molecules are approximately 80 nucleotides in length. Their secondary structure includes four short double-helical elements and three loops (D, anti-codon, and T loops). Further hydrogen bonds mediate the characteristic L-shaped molecular structure. tRNAs have two regions of fundamental functional importance: the anti-codon, which is responsible for specific mRNA codon recognition, and the 3' end, to which the tRNAs corresponding amino acid is attached (by aminoacyl-tRNA synthetases). tRNAs cope with the degeneracy of the genetic code in two manners: having more than one tRNA (with a specific anti-codon) for a particular amino acid; and 'wobble' base-pairing, i.e. permitting non-standard base-pairing at the 3rd anti-codon position. The record is from Rfam by way of RNAcentral. Lineage: Eukaryota; Metazoa; Chordata; Mammalia; Artiodactyla; Camelidae.
GAGGGUAUAGCUCAGUGGUAGAGGCACAUGCUUAGCAUGCAUGAGGUCCUGGGUUCAAUCCCCACUGCCUCCU